UUAUUAAAGUGUAAAGAUAUCAGGCAAAAACGUGCACGGCCCCUUUCUGUCAGAUUCUUAUGAAAUCGUCGGAGAAGAGCCCGCUCUAAACAGUACAUUCAAAUUAUAUAGGCAACUAGCAAAGUAGGUGGUCUUGUCGUCUGGCCUUCCUCUUGGUCAAUCUUGGUCGUGAGUGGUCCUGUUCGGACCAGGUGUCGACGUUCCAUUGGCUCUUGACAUAGUUCUUUGUCUUGAGUCACACCCUUGGAAAGAAUGUGUAUGUCUAAAUGAUGUUUCAGGGGCCUGUCCUGAGUGGGGUGUGUGUGUGUCUGAGGUUAGUAUCUA
This is a non-coding RNA of Salvelinus sp. IW2-2015, 324 nucleotides long. The record is from RefSeq and is a predicted model, not a curated record. NCBI's taxonomy places the organism in Eukaryota, Metazoa, Chordata, Actinopteri, Salmoniformes, Salmonidae.